Orcinus orca (killer whale) is the source of this 6265-nucleotide long non-coding RNA. RefSeq lists it as uncharacterized. NCBI's taxonomy places the organism in Eukaryota, Metazoa, Chordata, Mammalia, Artiodactyla, Delphinidae. The record is from RefSeq and is a predicted model, not a curated record. The transcript is spliced from 3 exons.
GAUGAUGGCCCGAGUGCCGGUGAAUCAUGGAGCCGGAGGAGGAAGUGGGUUAGUACCGGGACUGCCUCCCUGAGAGGCCGACAGAGCAAGAGUGACGUCACUGCCGGGUGACGCCCGAGCUCCAGCGGCCUCUGUCCCCCUCCUCACCUGCUCUGUCCCCGCAGGCUGCGUUGGGCCCUGGCUCUGAGGACCACAGGCUGAGCGCCGCCUCCAGGCUGCUGGGAAGCGCGGGCACAGAGCGGGGAUGGGGGCCGUGCCCGCCUGGAGCCACCCUCAGCUGUGAGCCUUUGGCACCUGCUCCAGUGAGGUUAAUUCAGGGGGUUCAGGGCGAGUGAGAGGUGACACUGGGAAAUGUAAACUUUAAACUGUAUCAGUGUUUGUAAGUUGGGUUUGGCAUUUAAAAAUUUUACCCAAGGGACUAUACUCAAUAUUUUGUAAUAAUCUAUAAGGGAAAAGAAUCUCAAAAGAAUAUCUAUAGCUAUCUAUCUAUAUCUAUCUAUCUAUCUAUAUAUAUACACAUACCUACAUACGUAUAUAACUGAAUCACUUUGCUGUACACCUGAAGCUAACACAACAUUGUAAAUCAACUAUACUUCAAUUAAAAAAUAAAUAGGGCUUCCCUGGUGGCGCAGUGGUUGAGAGUCCGCCUGCCGAUGCAGGGGACACGGGUUCGUUCCCUGGUCCGGGAAGAUCCCACAUGCCAUGGAGCGGCUGGGCCCGUGAGCCAUGGCCGCUGAGCCUGCGCCUCCGGAGCCUGUGCUUCGCAAUGGGAGAGGCCACAACAGUGAGAAGCCCGCGUACCGCAAAAAGAAAAAAAACAAACCCCAAAACAUUUUAUUUAUUUAAAAAUCCUCAUCCAGUGGAAGUGGCUCUGGCCUCUGAGGCCCUUUGGUAAAGCCACUUCAAAGGUCUAAGCUCCCAGGGCUGGGACAGGGCAGGGGAGGGGCACUGGAGGGGCUGGGCAGCGUCGGGCAGUGUCGUGGGCCCUUAGAAUGAGCUCCCCUUCAGCGAUGGGCCCUGGGCACUUCACUCGCUUGACCCUGGUCCCAGCCCUGCAAGCUUUUCUAAGUACAUGGGGGACACUGAGGCCUUGGGUCUGGGUUGGGAGUCAGGAGUUGGCUUCGUGGGGUAUGGACCGCGAGGGCUGCCCGAGGGCCCCCACCAAGAGCAGGUCUGGGGGCAGGGUCUGUCUGUCCUUCCUGGUAGAAGGCAGCACCUGCACAGCCUCAGCUGGUGACAAAGGGGCAGAAACGCUCUGGACGUGGACAGAGGGCACUGGCACAGCCGCUAAUGAAAGGCUGGGGCAGUGGGAGCUGAACCAUCCUGCGGCUUCCUCGAGGCGCGGCCGCUGUGACCGUGAUCGUGGUAAUAACACCAGUGCCCAUCGUGGGUGGUCAGGCUGCUGGUGUGGGAUGUCUGGACACUGAAUGGCCGGGAGCUCAGGAAGCCCCUCCCCACGCGAUCUCACUGAUGCUGCCCUGGCUGGCUGGGCUGGGGGAUUAUUACUUUAUUGUUUUUAAAGUGCCCUGUUGUUAUUUUUUGAUUACGGAAGCGAUCCAAGCUCACGAUAAAGACCUGUGAGCACUGAGUGGGUGGUGCUAUUAGCUUGGUUCAUGGUUCAUGGAUGGGGAGGUGACGCAGACUGUCGCAAUUCAUCAGUAUCAGCAGCAGGAUGACAAAAAAGAUUUAGUCACCGUCCUUUGGGACACAGCUGGGUAAGGCUGCUGGCAGACAGACAGGGUCUGCACCCCGGCCUCCCAACCUAAAGCUGACCAAAAAUGAGGGUAUUUUCUGCACAGUCCUGGGAGGUGAGGGCAGGAGUGGGGACUGAGAGCAGAUGCUGGCACAGUCCUCCAGCCGCUGGUGGCCACAGCCCACAGGGUGACUGCCCAUCUUGCUUCUCCAGCUGCUUCCUGCUGCCGGAUCUGGGGCUGGGCUGCUCUGAUACCCUGGUGCUUCCCGGGCUUAGGGGAGGCCACUGAGAGCUGGCGGGCGCGGGGUGACCCCUUUCAGCCACGUGCAGGCACCUGAAGACCUAGGCUGGGCUGCGUGCAUGAGGCUCCUCUGGGGAGCACGGAAGACAGGGGUCCUGCAGAGGAACUCUGUGCUGUGCAUUUCUGUGGCCCUGAUUUUAGUGACGAGCCCCUUAGCCCAAACCAGAGCAUCAUGUCCUGAGGAACACAGAUCACCUAAUUCAUUCUCAUGAAGUCUCACCGUGAGUUGCUGAUGUGGCCGUCACAACUCCAUUUUACAGAUACGGAAACUGAGGCUUGGGGGACGAUGUUCACAUGUCCAAAGCCACACAGUACUAAGUGGCUGAAUUUGAUUAGAACCAUUCCAAGCCCUUCCCCCAUCUCCCAGCUCCCCGCCCACACUCGGCUCUCCAGGCCCUGAUGCUAUAGACACGAUGCUGCCGCCCAUCUUCGGGGAGCAGGGGCUCCCAGAGCCCAGCGGUGACCAGGCAGCAGGUGUGACCUCCUGGGAGGCCAACCUUGGAACUUGUUUUUCUUGGCGCCCUCCUGGGGACUGCAUUCCACCGACCCCAAAACACAUUUUCCCCAGGUCUAGGUGUGAAACUUCGGGGGCGAGGGUGGCCAGAUCUGGGGAACCUCCCAGAGCCCCUGGGGUGACCUGGGAAGCUGGGCUUGUGUCUGGAUGCUGCGUCCCCAGGAUCUCGCCCAGAGCAGGCCUUCUGUGUUUGCCAACUGUGCCCCGGGGACAGGUAGCUCAUGGGUACACUUGGCUUAGAGACGCCUGGGCCUGGUUUGGGCUGAGAGUAGUGAAUGCGAAAGGAUAUCAGAAAGGGGCGGGUGCUGAGAAGGGGCAGGGCCAAGUGUAGAAUGCUGGUGGGCGCUGCAAUCAACGCUGGUGCCUAAGGGGUCCGCUAGGAGGGUCUCAAGUUCAGAACACCUUGCAGGGGGGUUGCAGGGGCGUGAAAAAGCCUCCAAGUCACCUGUUUCCUGUGACUUCAUUGGUGUUGGGGUGCAGGUUAUCCAGCCUCCUUUAGUUCUGCUGCGUGUUUUACUGUUUGGCUAAUCUAUCUUGGUCUGACAAACUUUCUUUUUGGAAGUAAAUGUUUAUUCGUGUGUGUUUGACCUGAAAAAUACUAUUGCUGGGUUUUCUGGCACCUCCAAACAUUUAGGAGACACAUGUGGAAGCCGAGCUGGGCAUCAAGUCUGCCUGCAGUGUCCCUCGGGGCUGGGAGCCUCUCCAGGUCAGGUCAGGCCCACCUUGGAACCGCCUCUGACCCAGAGUCCAGGCUGAGGCCAGCAUAGAGGCAGCAGCACCUGCUUGUUGAGUGAAUAACCGACCUGGCUGGGGGACAGUUCCCGGAACAGAGGUGCCAAGAAGGUGAGAGAAGCCAGGCAGGAGGGCAGGGCUGCGUUAGGCUCUCAGGGUGUAAUUCUUCUUGCCCUUGCAAGGAGGGUGCAAUUCACAUUUUUAUUUAUUUGAAAUCACACAGUAAUUCUUUUUUUUAAAAAAGUAAUUAAUUAAUUAAUUAAUUUUUGGCUGUGUUGGUUCUCUGUUGCUGCGCACAGGCUUUCUCUAGUUGCAGCGAGCGCAGGCUACUCUUCGUUGCGGUGCGCGGGCUUAUUAUUGCAGGGGCUUCUCUUGUUGCAGAGCACGGGCUCUAGGUGCACGGGCUUCAGUAGUUGUGGCACGCAGGCUCAGUAGUUGUGGUGCACGGGCUUAGUUGCUCUGCAGCAUAUGGGACCUUCCCGGACCAGGGCUCGAACCUGUGUCCCCUGCGUUGGCAGGUGGAUUCUUAACCACUGUGCCACCAGGAAAGUCCCACACACAGUUAAUUCUUGAACACAGUCUCAUAUAAAUCACAGUGUUACCAAUAAAAUCCAAAUCCAUCUUGCUCAAGCCCCUUUAUUGUGCCCCCCGACUCCUGGUAUAUCCCGUUUUGUUUCGGCGCCUAGUUUGCCAGAUUUUUACUGAUAUACAAGCUCGUGCCUAUGUAAACACAUAGUUUGAGUGUUGUGCCUGUGUGUGUGUUUAAACUCAAAGGGUGUCGCUCUGUAUGUAUCAUGCUGUAAACUGCUUUUCCCUUGAGCUGACUAAAUCUUGGAGAUCCUGUCAGUGUGCAUAGAUCUUCCUUAUGACCUGCGUCUGCUGCGGAGGACCCAAGGCUACAGCAAUGGCCCCCACAGGAGUCAGCAUGCCCAUUUUAUGGAUGAGGAAGUUGAGGCUCAGAGAGGUUGGGUGACUUGCCCAGCGUCACCUCCAGCUGUUUGAGGGUUGGGCCUGGCAGGGACUGGGAGAGGGGCAGGUGGGACUGCUGAGUGUGGAGCACAAAGGAGUGGCAGGUGAAGGGGACCCCAAGGGCAGAGUCCAGAUGCCCGAGGGAGGAAAUCAAUCAGGGCCUCUGGGAGUCUCAGCGAUUCCGGAUGGAUCAGGCAGGAAGCUGGCCCUCCGCUGGAAGCCGAAGAAUUCUGCAGGCCCCGCCCGGCCACACGCUCGCUCUCCCUUCCGGGGCCUGACUCCCCUGAGACUGUGUGGCCGGGGCGCUCAGGGCUGAGCGAUGACCGAGUGGGCCCUGUCCUCCAGGACACAUGGCCUGGGCCCACUGCCAUGCCAGGCGGGCCCAGGGGCAGGGGCAGGUACUGCCCACGUCUGUCCCCCACAUCCCCAGGACACCAGCCCUGGAUGUACUCUGCCAGGUGCUCAUUCCCCAGGACUUAUGUCAGGGUGAGGCACGUGCCGGAAAGACCAGGCCACCCGGGCGGGCCCAGGGUGUGACCUGCAGUGCUUCCCACAAAGGCUGAGCCAGCCAAGGUGCUGAUUGGGGCAGGCUUCCUGAAGAGGUGGAAGGACGCAGGGAAGUGGCCUCCAGCCUCCUCAACGCGCUGCUUCCUCCUGACUCACUGCUGGCCUGCCCACCUGUGGCGGGAAGUCACCAAACCUUCCCAGACUUAGGAGCACCUGCCGGGAGAUGGACCUUGCCCCACGCUCCCUACAUGCGCCUGCCUCAGCUGACCCACUUCCCAGGCAUUUGGCUGAAAGAGGCCAAGGCAAUCCCGAGGGGUGGGGUGGGUGCGGCCGGGGUGUGUCCAUGGUGCCAGCACCCAUGCAGCAUUUUCGGCCUGGUUUCCCAGGGCUGUGCCCCACCUGACCACGUUGUGCCUGUCCCCUUAGAAGCCACUGGCUUAUUCACAAGGCCACUUGUGCCCAGCAGCUCAGGGGCAUCGCUGCCAGCAGGCUGUCAGUCGGGGCCUUCCCACAAGAGUCCCAGGGAGGAGCGUCCCUGGGCUUGGUCUGCAGGUUCUGUGCACCCCAGGCCCUGCUGCUCUCCUGGCUGUAUGACUUGGACCAGCUACCUCUGGCCCUUCAGGCUUCCUGACUUACAGUGGAGACCCUCAGAUUCCAUCCCACACACCGUUACCUGGAUCAGACAGAGCCCGGUGUUCAGGAGGAACAGAGCAAGCUGACCACAGGCUGCUGCAUCAGGGGUCCUCCACAGGCCACUCUGAAGAACACUGACGAAGCAUGGAUGGGCACGAUGUGUGGACCUCAGGAUAAAGGGCCUCCGUGGAGCUCCACCUGGAAACUGGCUGCUCCUGCCCACGGUGCUGACUCAUCCUCUGGAGGGAGAAGAGAACAAAAGCUUCUCGGAGAAAAUGUGAUCCCUGCUUUAGAAUGGAACCCUGCUCCCAGCUCCAAUGCCAGCUCUCACUGGGGCUGUACGACGCUUUCACGCCAGUUCCCCGUUGAGCCAACAACCGUGAGGCAGUCAGUGAGCCUGAUAAAUGGGUUUUAUCCCCAUUUUACAACAGAAGAAACCAAGGCUCAGAGACUCCACCCAAAAGUGGCAGCCAUUUGUCAGGCACCAACCAUGGCGAGAGACCAGGACCAAGACCUGGGCCACCAUUUCUAUUCCACAGGCAGACCCCCGUCACCUGCAAAGCACCAGAUUUCAAACUGGACUCAAUUCCACCCCUACGCUUACUGCUUUAGAAUCUAUUUUUUAAAUGCAAUUUUAGGGGUUUUGGUAAUCGCCUUAAAUGGAGAAAAACAUUAUGCAGCAUUCACUUGAUAUUAGCCAAACUACAAGAAGUAUCAAUUGAUUUAAAAAAAAAAAAUUUAUGUACCUUGCCUUAGAAGUGAUUUCUGGAUAAAAUUUUCUAGAGCUUAUAAUUCCAUCCACGAUGUGAUCUAAUAUUGCCUAUUUCUAAAGCAUUUUACAUAACUUUGCUGUAUACCUGAAACUAACAUAACAUUGUAAAUCAAGUAUACUCCAAUAAAAUUUUUUUUAAAAAGG